UAGAUGAAUAUUGUUUUAACUCUAAUAAUGUUGGAAGUAUAAAUUGUAAGAAAUAUAAUAUAAAAAUAAUAAAAAAAGAAGAAUGUAAUUUGUGAUUCUAUGACUACAAAUAAUGAACGUCAACAUGACAUGUCAGCAAUUUUUCGACAUAACCAAGAAUCAAAGUUAACUAAUGCAUGAAAGGAUUUUUUCUGUUUGUCUGUACCAUCAUUUAUGUAUGUUUAUCUGGACCAUCAUUUUACAAAAGUUAUCAUUAGUGAAGUUUAUGAUUUGGCACAGGAUUCCUAAUUACCAUAGUAAAAGAAUCGAAUCGAAUAACCAUAACGAGAAAACCUCACAUUCUGCUCCUGAGGAAGGAAUGAACACAUUCCGAAAGCUCGAGUAUAAAGAAUAAAGAGUGAUCCAUUCGUUUUUGACUGCAAUCCCAAAUAACCCCCAAUCUGAAUAUAAGAAAACAGUCGAUACCUUU
Molecule: long non-coding RNA, 469 nt
Organism: Coccinella septempunctata (seven-spotted ladybird)
Lineage: Eukaryota; Metazoa; Arthropoda; Insecta; Coleoptera; Coccinellidae
Exons: 2
Source: RefSeq, a predicted model, not a curated record